CUUAUGUAUUAAUCACAUUAUUUUAUUGUAAUGCCUUGGUGCCACUGGAUUUUAACAUGUCUGACACCCAUACUGUAAGACAAAUGGUGGGGGUCUAGUUAGGAAGUUGGGGGAGGCAGACCACUUCACAGGAAGAGUCUUUUGUCUCUGCAAGGACUCUGGGAAGGUGUGAAACAGCUGUGUACUGCCUUUUGUUCAUGGAGAAAGUAUUUAACUGAGAGACACACUACUCUCAGUGAGACUCUGCUGACCCUGCCCCGUGGUCAUGCAGGCUCUCCAUCAAGCUUGGUUGUCCGUUGUCUUUGUGUGUCCGGAUUAAAGAAUGUUGGCUACCGCUCACCGCUCGUCUGCAGGCUUUAUUUAAGUGGAAAAACUUCCACAACAGAAUGGCGCUGUGAGCAGGGUGGUCCGUGUGGUCGCUGAACAACGCUUCCGUGUACGGGCUGAUCACCCCUGAGGGAAAAGGUACCUUUGUCCUACCAGCUGUUGAAGCAAAGGAAAUGGAGGAGUCACGGAGCCGUGUGUUUCAGCCACCACCGAGACCAUCAACUUUGAGGGGACUCCUGCAGAUGGCCGCGUUGGAAUGGAAAUCGAGGGAUGGAGAGAGCGUGCCAAGCUCCAAAGGUGACAGCACAGAGGGAGAUCAGCGUUGGAAUUACAACUCUGUAAAUGGCACAGACACCAGGAGCCAUGAUCGGGAACUGAGAAUGACCAUCUAAUGCUUUUUCACUUUGCCAUGCAAAGUACUUUGACACUCUGGAAAAGACCUUUCCUCUGUAUCAUUGUUGUUGCCAUUAGCAUGUGAGAGCUUAGAUUGGGGGGAAGUUUAAAGAUGAACAAAGGGUGGUGGGAGACCAGUGAAGUUAGGAUACACAGUGUGAAACUCCUUUGAGUGUAAAAUAAUGUUGAUGUGAUAUACAGAAUGUCGGGAAAGAAAUUCUGGUUUUAAUGUGAUUCUUGAUUUGAGAAUCAAAGGGUGGGAUUGUAUAGGAAUUUCUUUCACUUAUGUAUUAAUCACAUUAUUUUAUUGUAAUGCCUUGGUGCCACUGGAUUUUAACAUGUCUGACACCCAUACUGUAAGACAAAUGGUGGGGGUCUAGUUAGGAAGUUGGGGGAGGCAGACCACUUCACAGGAAGAGUCUUUUGUCUCUGCAAGGACUCUGGGAAGGUGUGAAACAGCUGUGUACUGCCUUUUGUUCAUGGAGAAAGUAUUUAACUGAGAGACACACUACUCUCAGUGAGACUCUGCUGACCCUGCCCCGUGGUCAUGCAGGCUCUCCAUCAAGCUUGGUUGUCCGUUGUCUUUGUGUGUCCGGAUUAAAGAAUGUUGGCUACCGCUCA
This is a long non-coding RNA of Pelmatolapia mariae (spotted tilapia), 1341 nucleotides long. RefSeq lists it as uncharacterized. NCBI's taxonomy places the organism in Eukaryota, Metazoa, Chordata, Actinopteri, Cichliformes, Cichlidae. The record is from RefSeq and is a predicted model, not a curated record. The transcript has 2 exons.